GCCGGUGUGAUGGAAUGGCAGACAUACGGGACUUAAAAUCCCGAGGCCCUCAAAAGCCGUGCGGGUUCGAGUCCCGCCACCGGUACCA
This 88-nucleotide transfer RNA is filed under the name Verrucomicrobiales bacterium. RNAcentral describes it as "tRNA-Leu". It matches the Rfam family "tRNA". From Rfam's summary of the family: Transfer RNA (tRNA) molecules are approximately 80 nucleotides in length. Their secondary structure includes four short double-helical elements and three loops (D, anti-codon, and T loops). The record is from RNAcentral. Lineage: Bacteria; Pseudomonadati; Verrucomicrobiota; Verrucomicrobiia; Verrucomicrobiales.